Molecule: ribosomal RNA, 804 nt
Filed under: Stictis brunnescens
Lineage: Eukaryota; Fungi; Ascomycota; Lecanoromycetes; Ostropales; Stictidaceae
Description: SSU rRNA
Rfam family: Bacterial small subunit ribosomal RNA
Source: RNAcentral
AGCAGUGAGGAAUAUUGGUCAAUAGCCUAACGGCUGAACCAGCAACUUGGAGGAAUGGAUACCAAGAAUAUAUUUUUUUGGUAGAAAAGAACUAUGUUCUAUAAAAUUCUAGAUAAAAAGAUGAAACGACAUUUUUUAUUUAUAUGUCUUGACCAAGUCACGUGCCAGCAGUCGCGGUAAUACGUGGAAGACUAGUGUUAUUCAUCUUUAAUUGGUUUAAAGGGUACCUAGACAGUCGAUAAAGCCUAGUAAAGGGACUGAUGGACUAGAGUGUUAUGUAAGGAGGUAGAAGGGUUAGAGUAGAGAUGAAAUUCUGUCAUACAACCAGGACUGGUAAAGGCGAAAGCAACCUUUUAUGUAAACACUGACGUUGAGGGACGAAGGCCUAUAGUAGCAAACAGGAUUAGAUACCCCAGUAGUUUGGGCAGACAAUGAUGAGUGUCAUGCGUAAGUAGAAAUAUUUGUGCAUAAAUGAAAGUGUAAGCACUCCACCUCAAGAGUAAUACGGCAACGUAUAAACUGAAAUCACUAGACCGUUUCUGAAACCAGCAGUGAAGUAUGUUGUUUAAUUUGAUAAUCCACGGAAAACCUUACCACAAUAUGUAUAUUUAUAUAAAAAUAUAAUUACAGGUGUUGCACGGCUGUCUCCAGUUAAUGUCGUGAGAUUUUGGUUAGUUCCAUUAAAUUAACGUAAACCCUUACUUUAUUUGUUAUAGAGUAGUUCGUCACUAUAUUGAAAUGUGAUAAGAGGGACUAAGACAAGUCAUCAUGACUCUAACAUUGUGGGCUAUAGACGUGCCACAU